GAUGAACGCUGGCGGCGUGCUUAACACAUGCAAGUCGAACGAAGCUGCUAAAAGGAAGUCUUCGGAUGGAAUUUUAGUAGACUUAGUGGCGGACGGGUGAGUAACGCGUGGAUAACCUGCCUUAUACAGGGGGAUAACGGAGAGAAAUUUCCGCUAAGACCGCAUAAGACCACAGCACCGCAUGGUGCAGGGGUAAAAUAUUUAUAGGUAUAAGAUGGAUCCGCGUCCGAUUAGCUAGUUGGUGAGGUAGAGGCUCACCAAGGCGACGAUCGGUAGCCGGCCUGAGAGGGUGAACGGCCACAUUGGGACUGAGACACGGCCCAAACUCCUACGGGAGGCAGCAGUGGGGAAUAUUGGACAAUGGGGGAAACCCUGAUCCAGCGACGCCGCGUGAGUGAAGAAGUAUUUCGGUAUGUAAAGCUCUAUCAGCAGGGAAGAAAAUGACG
This 446-nucleotide ribosomal RNA is filed under the name Lachnospiraceae bacterium oral taxon 107. RNAcentral's name for it is "bacterial SSU rRNA". It matches the Rfam family "Bacterial small subunit ribosomal RNA", at positions 28 to 456 of the family's 1533-position model. Lineage: Bacteria; Bacillati; Bacillota; Clostridia; Lachnospirales; Lachnospiraceae. The record is from RNAcentral.